RNAcentral lists this unclassified non-coding RNA (247 nucleotides) under uncultured fungus. RNAcentral's name for it is "partial contains 5.8S ribosomal RNA, internal transcribed spacer 2, and large subunit ribosomal RNA". The record is from RNAcentral. RNAcentral also lists the same sequence under 1 other name. Lineage: Eukaryota; Fungi.
AACGCACAUUGCGCCCCUUGGUAUUCCAUGGGGCAUGCCUGUUCGAGCGUCAUUUGUACCCUCAAGCUCUGCUUGGUGUUGGGUGUUUGUCCCGCUUUUCGCGUGGACUCGCCUUAAAACAAUUGGCAGCCGGCAUAUUGGCCUGGAGCGCAGCACAUUUUGCGCCUCUUGUCAUGAUUGUUGGCAUCCAUCAAGACUAUUUUUUACUCUUGACCUCGGAUCAGGUAGGGAUACCCGCUGAACUUAA